This 302-nucleotide ribosomal RNA is filed under the name uncultured bacterium. Its description in RNAcentral is "partial 16S ribosomal RNA". It matches the Rfam family "Bacterial small subunit ribosomal RNA", at positions 508 to 807 of the family's 1533-position model. The record is from RNAcentral.
GCAGCAGCCACGGGAACACGAAGGGUGCAAGCGUUAAUCGGAAUUACUGGGCGUAAAGCGUGCGCAGGCGGUUUCGUAAGACAGAUGUGAAAUCCCCGGGCUUAACCUGGGAACUGCAUUUGUGACUGCGAGGCUAGAGUGUGUCAGAGGGGGGUGGAAUUCCACGUGUAGCAGUGAAAUGCGUAGAUAUGUGGAGGAACACCGAUGGCGAAGGCAGCCCCCUGGGAUAACACUGACGCUCAUGCACGAAAGCGUGGGGAGCAAACAGGAUUAGAUACCCCCGUAGUCCCUGUCUCUUAUAC